GUUUGUUUGUUUGUUUGUUUGUUUUUUGUCAUUUUGCAUCAAGUUAGCUGACAUGACACUCACUUCUGGCAAAUAAUCAUCAUAUUUUAAAAGUGUUGUUUUACUACAGUUUAAAAGAAAAAUAAAAUACAUUUAUAACUGGCCAGUCAAAACUGUGACUUUAAGACCAAGCUGAACUGGUUACAUCAUUAGCAGACUGAACAUGCAGUUAAUCCUACUAAUUGUGAGCACCUUGCCUUCCAGCAAAUCAGCUAGGACUAAAGGCUGAACAAUAGUACAUCUAAUUAAUGUUCAUGACCCAGGCUGAUAAAGGAGAUCUGGGUUUCUCUCUGCAUUUCCAUUCAUCACUAUAAAUCUGCAUGUACCCAUACUAAAGACAUGCUGGUAGCAUCAGCCGUGGAGUGAGAAUUAAUCCUACUAAUGAGCCAGGCUGAUAAGGUUAAUAAAGGAGGUCCAUGUAACCUGGAGAAAGUCAUCUGUUCACAUUCCCAUUCAUCUCUAUAAACCUGCAUGUUUCCAUCCACAAGAGGAACAGGAGCCAAAGCUCAGCACGGUGUGAGAAGGUUGCCCUCAGGCAAGCAUGAGACUGGCCUUGGUAAUUGGCACCAGUGAACGAGAGGGUCCUGGCACGACUCCGAAAACCAGAGGAAUGUAUGCAUUCUGUCCAGCUUCAGGCAGAGGAGUUAACAGAACAUCGUGUGAAUCAGCGUGUCUCCAGUCUACACUAUCAUUAGCCCUGGGGUGGGCCAGAGGGAAAGCAAGGGACUGUGGUGCAUCUCUUUUCAUUUACCUUUUUUUUUUUUGUUUACCUCACCCAUCUAUUCUCUCUUCAUGAGUCAUUAUUCCCCAUCUGCAGACACAUACAGUAGCUGGAGUGACGGUUGUUGUAUGGGCAUGCACAGAAAAUGAUCAAUACAAUAUUGUCACCAAACACAUCAUUUUUCAGUUGGGUUUACUCAAGCCAUCCGCUCUGUCACUUCUCAGUUUUUUAUUUUCUCUGCUACCUACAUUGCAUUCAUUCCACUCUGCCUUUAUUCAUAUUUGAAAUGCCGUUGUUGAAAUAAUCUCUUCACUGGCAUGUUUAUUCAGGGACAAUAUGGGAAGGAGACGAACCACUCAUAGAAAAAUUAAUGUAAGAAUAUUGCACGUGUAGAGAUGGAGCUUCUGCCUUUUGAUGGAGGGGUGGGUGGUAUGGUCAAAUGAAUUCAUGCUAGAAGUAAUUUAUUAUUUUUAUAAAUAUAGUGUGAUUUAAGAUUUUG
Long non-coding RNA from Cyprinus carpio carpio, 1259 nucleotides. NCBI's taxonomy places the organism in Eukaryota, Metazoa, Chordata, Actinopteri, Cypriniformes, Cyprinidae. The record is from Ensembl.